AAGAACAGACGGGCAGUAUGGACCCGGUAUAUACACAAUUACAGUAAUAGUUUGUGAAUGGGUUCUCAGAUUUUGCCUACAUAAGAAGUUGAAAAGCAUCGAAAUUGGCAUUAAAGAUGCUUGCAGAAUGAAUAGCAAGGAGGUAGAAGAAGGAAUAUGUGAACAAAGUCCAAAGAUUGCGCGGGUAUGAAACCGAUUGCAGGUCAAAAAGUCAGGCGCCAACCCUAUAUUUGUGUUCUGUGCGCCAACAUAUAACUUUGAAUCAAAAAUCAUAAUAUAUUUUUCAAUUUUUGUA
This is a long non-coding RNA of Anthonomus grandis grandis, 295 nucleotides long. RefSeq lists it as uncharacterized. NCBI's taxonomy places the organism in Eukaryota, Metazoa, Arthropoda, Insecta, Coleoptera, Curculionidae. The transcript has 2 exons. The record is from RefSeq and is a predicted model, not a curated record.